Molecule: long non-coding RNA, 228 nt
Organism: Frieseomelitta varia
Lineage: Eukaryota; Metazoa; Arthropoda; Insecta; Hymenoptera; Apidae
Exons: 4
Source: RefSeq, a predicted model, not a curated record
UUGUUUCAGAUUUCCACUCGGCGGGGAACGGGGAGAGCGCGAGAUUCUCGAGAAGAAUCGACUGUAAUCGGAUGUACUACACUAGCUGGAGCGCUCGUUCGUUUCGAGGUUAUGCAUCGUAAGGCGCAGACGAACGAGUAAGAAACACGGGACGAAAGUGGAGAGUUACUUUUCACCGUGGCGGAAAUAUGGUGGCUGCGUAGAUUCUUCGGAGACUUUAUGCAGGCA